GGAUGGAUUUCCGAGUGGCCAAAGGGGGCAGACUGUAAAUCUGUUAGCAACGCUUUCGAAGGUUCGAAUCCUUCUCCAUCCA
Molecule: transfer RNA, 82 nt
Filed under: Ruminococcus sp. AM36-17
Lineage: Bacteria; Bacillati; Bacillota; Clostridia; Eubacteriales; Oscillospiraceae
Description: tRNA-Tyr
Rfam family: tRNA
About the family: Transfer RNA (tRNA) molecules are approximately 80 nucleotides in length. Their secondary structure includes four short double-helical elements and three loops (D, anti-codon, and T loops). Further hydrogen bonds mediate the characteristic L-shaped molecular structure. tRNAs have two regions of fundamental functional importance: the anti-codon, which is responsible for specific mRNA codon recognition, and the 3' end, to which the tRNAs corresponding amino acid is attached (by aminoacyl-tRNA synthetases). tRNAs cope with the degeneracy of the genetic code in two manners: having more than one tRNA (with a specific anti-codon) for a particular amino acid; and 'wobble' base-pairing, i.e. permitting non-standard base-pairing at the 3rd anti-codon position.
Source: RNAcentral